CUUCAUCCUCCCAUCGCUGCCCUCCUGCUUCUCUCACACUUCAACAAGGUUAGUUUCUUGCUCUUCUUCAAUUUUUCACUCAAUUUUCGAAUUUGAAAUCAUGAACCCGUAUAUGGGAAUUUCAAUUGGGUUUGUGUUAAUUUUUAUUUCGAAACUACUGGAACAAAUCUGUUACAAUUGGUUUUCCUUCUCUUUGUCUGGUUAAUAUGAUUUCAAAUCCGAAAAUUUAGUGAAAAACUGAAGAAGAGCAAGAAACUAACAUUGUUGAAGUGCGAGGGAAUGAAUUGCUCCGAAUUUUCGCUCGUGACGCUGGAGUUAGAGUUGUUGUGGCUGUAGUAAUGGGAGGAAGCAGGAGGGCAGUGACGGGAGGAAGAAGAAUAGAUUUUGGAGUUUUUUUUUUUUUUUUUUUUGUGGAGAAAAGACGAUGUCAUUGAGAAUAAAGCAAAGGUUACAUUCUAUCCUCCGCCAAAACAUCACACACAGCAUCAGGAGGGUCCUGAAGCCACGAUAAUGUUUCUGGUAAAGUAAGUGCCAAACGAGCUAAGCGGUACGCCGCUCGGAUAGAUUGUGGGGUUUUAGUUUUUAGUUUUUACCUUUUUUUUGUUAAGUGAAAUUUAAAAAGUAAAAGAAAAAAGAUAUUUGAAAGUAAAUUUUUCUCAGCCUUUAGAUUGACCACAAAUCUUUUGGACUACUGUAAUCCAAAAGAACGAGACUGAUAAAAUGAAAAUAAUGUUCUACAACUAGUGUUCAAACGGGAAUGAUCUUAAUCAUUAACUAGAAAACUAUUUUUUGUAUGAAAAUUCAGACACCAAAUUUUUAUCAAGUCGUUUACUCUUGUAACUUUUGGUUUUGACUAAAUUUGCAUAAGAUGUGGAGCGCAAGUGCAGGUAUUUUAUUUUGAAAAAUCUUCUUGACUUUUUCAAAUAAGCUAAGCUAGCUAGCUUCCUAUCUAGGGUAUCAAAUCCCACGUUCAUUGCGAAUGGCAGGUUUCACGGGAUAGGAAAGAACUAGCUUUCCCUCUCAUAGACUCAUACCAUUUGUGUUUUGGUUGUAUAACUGAAGCAUCCUCCUUCCCUUUAACCUUCACCAAGGAUGAAGAGAAAACAAACAAGUCACGAGAAAGUAGAACGAAGAGCCAAAAUUUUCCUUUCCUUUUUGUGUAUUUAUUGGGGUAAGAGAUAUUAAAUUUGUGUGUGCUCAAAAGUUAAAAGAGGACAGACUAGGAGGUUUUGAAGGGCAGUUGAGAAAAUGAUAGUGAUAAAGAAGUGGUAGCUACACCAUGAAUGCAUGUUUUGUGAUGUGACAUAUCUAUCUUUUUCUUCUUCGUUUUUUCAAUCUCGCUUAAAAGAAAUGUCACUAAACAAAUGAUUAGUUGGCGAAAUAUGUUUGUUAUUCAUUGUCAUAUUUUCAUCAAAUAUUUAGAAUUUGAUGUCUUUUGUUAAAUUAUUUUUCAUCAAAAAAAUACAGUUACAAAACCGAUAUACAAAAGUGGUCUCGUUAAAACUUUCUUAAAGAAAAUUCAAUAAAAAAAAGUACCACACAUAUCAUUACAAUGAAGCCAACACACAACUAUUCGGCGGUGUUGUUGCCUUGUUAAAGUAUUUAAUGGUAUGUAUAUGAUGUGUUGUUCAAAUGCGAAUUUACAAAUGAAGUUAUCAAUAAUAAAAAGUACUUAGUUUACUUGUCAUAUUUUAUUUAGGGAUAAAAACGUGCAUAUGUAUUUUAUAUAUUUUUAAUGAGUUAUUCAUAGUAUUUCUCACCAGCCAUAAGUAUAUACUAAAUCAAAGAAGUGAUUGAUUGAACUUGUAUUUUACUCAAAUUGCAGCACUUUUCCCCGUCCACUUUGGCUUUUAACAGCCUCAUUAAUAAUUAAGAACAUCGGAUUGGUUGUUUUUAUUGUAGUUAAUCAUGAUCUUCGUCCAUGAUUAUAUACCAAAGCCCCCCACUAGCAAUUUGACAAAUAGAUGACAGCUGAGCUAACUUAUCUAAUGUCAUGUGGGAACAUUGCAAAUUGCCACCAGAAAGAUUUAAUAAUAAUAAUAUAUGGUUGUUUUGUUGUUGGCAACGACUUUGCUUGAGAUUUCGAAACGGCUACCGAUUUCUUUGAAGUUGUUUAAUUUUGUGUAUCAGUCAAGAGUCUCAAGUUUUAGAGUAAGAAUGUAGAAGAAGGGCCACUAUAAAGAAAAGUUGAAGAACAAAAUGCCUCCACAUCCACAUGCCAUACAAUAACUCAUAAGUCCCAUGUAAACAUACGUACCUUCCCCAGGUCCCAACUGACAAAGGUCUCCAUCUCCACGUUUUUGUUUUUGGGAUUUUGUCUAGGUUAGUCACACACUUAUUUUCUAUGUGUGAGCGAUUUCUGAUCGUAAUAAGUUCACAUAUAUGUACAAAGAAAAAUUAAUUAUAUACGUAGAUAACCGUAACUCUAAAGAACAUAUAUAAAUCGUAUAUUCAAUCAUUAUUUUUCCUUUUUUCAUACUUUUUUUCAUGGUAGGAAGAAAAUCUCACUACUCAUGUCAAAAGUUAUGAAAUAAAUCACAUGCGGAUCACAUACUUAUUAUACAAAGUCGAAUUUUGUACAUGCACAAAUCCAAUUUAAGAUAAUGUUUUGUAAUUCCAACUUCAGAUAUUUGAAUUUAUAGGUUAUCUUUUUUAUCUAUAUAUAUAAAGUAAAAAACAUAAAACUGUGAAAUAUUUAAAAUAUCAGAAAAUACUCAUUAUUUUUUUUAAUACUAAAAUAAAUUAAAUUUUUUAUAAAAAAGAGUCUCUCGCAAAUGCAGAAACACGUGCAGAGAGACGAGAGGCUAAUAUUUAGGUAUUUCUCAUGCACUCUCUUGUACAAGGUAUGGCAGAGGAAUAAGAUUUUUUAUAUGUCCUUUGCCUUGGCUGAUUGGAUAGUUGCAUGGCUCACACAUCUCUGAGGUCCCUUUCACCCUUUUGGUCUGUUUUGCCAAUUCCCAAUAACAUCAUUCACACAAGAUUCUUGCUCUUUUUUCUACAUUAUUUUAUUGCUCUUCUUGAAUCAUCUUCCUCUUCCUCUUUUUUUUCCUUUUUUCUGUUGUUGAUAAAUUUGUUGUUAUUAUUACCUUUACAAACUCAUUAGUUUUAUUUAUUAAAAUAUGAUAUUCUUUGUUGUCAUGAUGGUGAUGGGUUGGCAUGCUCGCAGGAAUUCUGGCUUUUCUAAAUUUCUUUGACACAUGUUCAUCUUCUUCCUGUGAUGUGUCUUUUGCUUUCUGGGUUGUCCUCAGAAUUCAGAACUCAGAAUUCAGACAGUUACAGUUUAUCAUAAACCGAUUUGGAUUCAGAGUCACAAUUGAACUCUUAUUGAUUUUUCUUUUUCUGUGGAAUUAUUUGUUUGUGGGGAUUCUGUCAGGAAUUCAAUUCCCCAAGGUGAGUUUAUGCAAUUUUUGGCUCAUUUAUGAAAACUCUCUGUAUCUGUGUAUCUCUCUCUCUCUCUCUCUCUCUCUCUCUCUCUUCUUUGUUUUAUAGCAUCAUCUGCAGGUCAUCUGCAGGCUUUGGAAUUACAUGUUGUUUUCUUCUAUCGAAUUGUGGGGUCAAAAAGAGACGACUUUAAUGGUUUCCUGAUUGAAUUUGGAUUGCAGUUCACAUGCGUGCUUUUCUCGGAGCCUUCUGUUUUUGAAUUUCGCAAUUGGGUCAGAGUGAAAAAUUGCUUCUUUCAACCAAUUCAGGAUUAAUUUUGUGAAAAACAGGUAACUUCUCUUUUCAAAAUUUUAUCUGCAAUCCUUAUUGAAUUUGAUUUCUGCUGAGUUUCCUUCUUUCCUUCUAAUUUCUAUAUAUUUAUUGGAUCCUGUAGAUUUUCAUGUCUCACAGUCAUCUUUGAAUUCAACUGGUGCAACAAUUCUUGAUAAGAAACCUUGGAAUUUCGUACGCUACAAAAAUUGCUGCUCUGGUUUUGUGCAAAUUGCUCAUGAUGAUUGUCUCAAUGAGUUUUAUGUGCUUGGGAUGAUUUAAAAUUCUGGGUUUUGUGGUUUGAAUCUUAAAUGGACGUGCCUCCUUAUUGUAAGCACUUCAGAGUAUUCGGUUGCCACUUGAAUUCCUUUGCAUGCAAAUGUGUUGUUUUAGCUUUCAUUGCUCUGAUUCUCAGAGCUGUUCUGCUUCCUACGUUCCAUAAUUUUGGUGGAGCUGAACAGAGCAAGUUGGUCUUCAUCAGUAACCUCUCUUUGUCACUCGGUCAGAAAUUCGGAAUUAGAAAAGAUAAGUUUCUGGAGGUUCCUCAAAUUGUAUGGGGCUUAAACAAUCAAAAGAUUGCGUUUGCAAGAGCUUGUUUAACUGCAAGGUUUCUGAACCGGACUCUUUUGAUGCCCAGCUUGAGUGCUUCCCUGUUCUACAAAGAAGUCGAGCUCUUGGAGCCUAUUUCCUUUGAUAAGGUGUUCCAGUUCAAGAAGUUUAAUUCUCUCUGUAAUGGCUUUGUUCAACUGGGCGAGUUCUCGGAUCUUAGAAACCGAACGGAAGCCUUUGAGCUUCAGAAAGGAAGUGGAAGGAGGUGGACACCUGAGAGAGAUUUGUAUCAGUUGAAACAGCACAAUGAGGAUCCAUAUAAUGAGUUUGAGGUCAUUCGAAUCAUUGGAAAGAACCCGUUUCUGUGGCACGAUCAUUGGCCUGUGAAGGACUAUGCGAAGGUAUUUGAGUGCUUGGUUCUGGUUGAUGAGAUAAUGAAUGAAGUAGAUAAAGUUGUGUCCAGGAUUAGAGAGAUAGGAGCAGCACAAGUAAGAAGCCAGAAUGAGUCUCCACAAAAUGGCAUUAACCGGGCAGAGAAGCCUCUCUUGCAGCCAGUGCCUUAUGUGGCUGUACACAUGAGGAUAGAGAUAGACUGGAUGAUUCAUUGUAAGAAGCUAGAGCAAAGAUCAAACAUAAGUCAAAUUUGUAGCAGCAAGGAGGAGAUCAUGGAGAGAGUGGGCAACAUUGCUGGCCUGAAAACACCGGUCGUUGUUUAUUUAGCUGUGGCUGAUAGUCUUCUUCAUGAUCCAUCUAUAUUGAGUGGCUGGAAGGAAGGCUUGAUUCCUUAUGAGAAGAAGAAAUUGGGGUUUGAAGGGACUUACAAGAAGUUCCCUUAUCUCAUUCAGUCUGCAAUCGACUAUGAAGUGUGUUCAAGGGCUGAUGUCUUUGUGGGAAACAGUUUCUCCACAUUUUCGAACCUUAUAGUUCUCGAUCGAACGCAGAAGCUCAUUAGAAUGGGCGUCACAAGCUCUUGUGGUGUGGAUGUAAGGUGGCCUUCUUAUGCAUACAACAUAUUAGGGGAAGCAAAAGGCCCUCAAAGAUGGAUGACAAACAUGUCUGGCUCAAGUCUUCAAGCAAUUAGCUAUGGCUCCAAUGACAUUUCGUGUUGUGUUGAUCUUUAGUUUUUCCAUUGGUGGACAUGUUCAAGGCUCCACCACUUCUUGUAAUCUACAUCAUCCCGUCCCUCCAGCGCAAUAUUUUCGGUAUAGUUUCAAAGUUCUUUUUCCCCUUUAUAGAGAACGUUAAAAUAGCUGUUGAAUGGAUGUAAAUUUCUUAUUUUUUAUUUCAAAUGUAAGUUCCAUUCUAUUGGUUUUUUCAUCUUGAUGGCAAUGGCAUUUUUUUUUUUCCUCUCCGGGUUGGAUUUUCUCACUAUUUGUUAGUGAAUGUUACUAUUCUCUUGGCAUGAAUUCUUGUAGGAUAUUGAUGUUAUUGUGUUUGUAAAACAAGAGCAUGCCCUCAUAAAAAUUUGAUAGGAAAUGGGGUUUUUUUUAUGUUGCUCAUCCAAACACAAGCUUUCUAACCACUUUUUCCUUCUCUGUAUCUCUCUGCACCUGUUUUCUUUCCAUAAUUGAAGGAUGAUGGUACAGAUGACCAAAACAAACAGAUAAAGACAGAAGGAAAUGGAAUGGGACAGUCUUUAGCACAAGCAAGGAAUUAAGUUAUUUGGUACUUGAUUUUUGAUUCUUGUGGUGGGUCAUGUCCUUGGCUCUCAACUUUGAGCUUUUUUGGCCCAUCAUCUGUGUGUAUUUAUUUGACUUACUGAAAAUUCUCGCUCAUUAUGUUUCUUUGCUUCCCCAGUGGGACCUCAAUGCUGGGUUUUGGCUGUUUUUUCUUUGUUGAUUAGCCCUCAAAACUUCAGACAUCAAGAUCUGUAAAGGGGUCAAUCUAAUUUGCAAUUUUCUUUGAAUUAGUCAAGUUUUUGGGCAUUUUAGGCACUAUUGCUUUAUACAGGGCAACUUCAAAGUUCAAAUUUUGGCUUUAAAGGCCAAAACUUGAGACCCUGUGAGGCUUUGAGAAAAAAGUUUAGGGACUCUGGAUCAAAGUUGUAAUCUUUAUGCAUUAAUUGGCUAACUGGCCAUUGGAAAGCUUAAAUUGGACAACUUAUCAGCUGCAUGGUACUUGUUUCUAUUUCUAUUGCAGAAAACACAACAGAACAGAUGAUCUUCUCCAAUACUAAUUAAGGACCUUUCUGAAUUUCAUCUAUAAAUAUCCAAUGGUGAAACGAAAAGCAAAAGGUGUUUUGCAUGGGCCAAAAUGGGCCAAAUCCAAUUAUUGGAGCAAGAUAUGAGUCGGCCUGUGGGUUCAAGUUGGUCCAACCAAAGUGAGCAAAGAAACUCCCAAUGACCUCAAUGAUCCAAAAUUUAUAAAGUGCUUGAACCUUGGUAGGGAUUCAAAAUUUCUCUAGAUGUUGUGGUGAAAAUAUAUUAGGGAGAAAAAGUUGCAGAUGGGUCCCAAACAUACCCAACAAACUCAUUUUCAUGUCAACUUGUAGGUUUGAUAUAAUUGAAGCCACUCACUCUUGCACGAAAUUUCCAUUUAACAUCUGGAAGGGGUUUGAUUGAAGCCACCCUACUAAUAGCUACCCCUUAUCCAAAAUGAGACGUGUCCUGUAAACACUUCACAAAACCAAACAACACAUUCACUACUACAACAAUCACAAUAAUGACUUGUUCCUGUUGUUAAUGGUGGUGGGUGAGUUUGGUAUCUUUCCCAUUUACUUAUAAUGGGAAGCAAGAACCAAGAUGGGACAACUAAGCUCAAUGCAUUGUCAUGAAAAAGAAAACUAAUAAAAACAACCAUAUUUUUGGCGACUUUUAAAUGAUUGAAGGGGAGAAUCAACUCUUACUUUGAUGAGUAUUUACAGUGUUUCCCAUCUCAGAGAGAGAGAGAGAGAGAGAGAGAGGGAGAGAGAGCGUAUAAAAUGGAAAUACAUUUAUGGCAUUUUAAUUCACUAACAUGAUAAAUGUUCUUUCAAUUCAAUUCACUAUCUUUUUUUCUUUCUUUUCCUCUGUCCUUCAAGAAGAAAGCGAUCAUCAAGAAUAGAUGCUUCCCCUUCUAUGGUACACACAAGGGACCUUGAUGGUCACAAGGUUUAUCUUAACACAAUGAUCAUGAAACUACAAAGGAAAAGAGGUACAUUAUCUUCAUGAUCAUGAAAUUGGAGUGAAUAGAGCGAGGAACUCUUUACUCUUUCUUAUGCGAAAAGUAUUGGUGGGAAGCUAUGCAGGUUAUUUUCCAACUUCAGAAGUCCUAUAAUUCAUUGGAUGUAUUCUUCAUAGUAGUUAUCACUUAUCACAGAAACGAACCUCUCGAGCCAAGGAAGCUGAUGGAGAUCUUUCAUUGCAUCUACGUAGGAAUCUGUACAACGGGGUGGGGAUUGGUAGGGGGGGUGGUCACUUAAACUGAAACCCCCAGCUAGGAACCUCUGGAUCAGUGCCAACUGUGAUCUCUCUUGGUCUGAGUAUGCGUCCAUUAUCAUGGGGAGCGAAUUGAAUGUUUCCCAUGCCCAUUGCUCAGAUUCUUGCAUAGACUGAGUGACCAAGUCUUCUGUGUUGUUGUUGUCUUCAUCCCAAAAGGCACAUUGACAAGUCUGUUGGCCAUUCCUAUAUUCAGCACCACAAGAAUAACAGAACUCAUGCCUACACCUGAACAUGAGCAACAUGAAAAGCUCAGUAAAGAUUCAAGAGCUUCUAAUGAAAAGUAGACUUAACAUGGUGAACAUAACAUGCUUCUGUAUUGAACAUGUGCAAAUGUAUAACAGACAUAAGCAUUACAAACAAAGGUGAUUAAACUUAAAUUUUACUCACAGAACAUCAUAUGCUCCUUGUUUACAUGUGCAUAUGCAUAACAGAUGAAAGCAUCACAACCAAAGGUGAAACUACAGAACAUUUUGUUAUUCAAAUAGUCAGGUUAUGAUUCAAUAAAACCAAUUAAAGCUGUCUUAAUUCAAUCAGCUUUAAUCAUAGUCAGGUACUACUUUCUCCUAGAGGUUCUCCUACACACAUUUUGCCCUCUGCAUAGGGUGACACCAUUUUGUCCAAGCGAGUAUAAAAAAUUGUAUUUUGAAAAAAUUUCUCAAACAAAAAUGAAGCCUGAGAUCUGAAAUGAUUAAGUAGUUUCCAUCUACAACAGUAUGUGUAAUGAAACCGAUCUUACCAGCAUGUCAUGUGGUAGCAACCUUGAGUGAGCUCGAUCAUCCUACGACACUGCUGGCAACGUCUCCAGCUUUUAUUUUGUGCUAGGCGAUGUAAGGUAAUGUCUGCAGCAUCUCUCUCUUCCAAUGGGAGGUUUUGGAACUCCUCACAGCUCAUAGAUGAAUGCCAAGGAACCCCACAAUCUACACAGAUGAAUCUCUGACAAACUGGACAGUCAAUGCAGCUGUUAUCUGACUGACUUGAUGAACUUGCCCUAGCUGACAAACAUUCAAGAGGAUCAAGCAGGACAGAACAAUUUGGAUAUGGGCAGUAAAUUCUAUCUGAGUGGAGAAUAUUUGCCUCUGCGAGGGCUUUCUCCAAUGAUUCAUAAGAAGUGAGUGGAAGAAAAGAUUUGCACUCAGCAGUGGAGACGUAAUACUUGCACCUCGGCUGAGGACAUCUGAUGGGGACUUGCGAGGACUGCACCUUCCCAUCAACGUAUGUCCUCAUGCAAUGCGAACAGAACUUAUGAGAACAUUUCAUGGUGAUCAUCAUUAGGGAUGGUUUAUCGUCGCAACAGAUGGAACAGUUUUCAAGUGAUUCAACACCCUUAGCAGGAAAAGAGACAACUCCAAUUGCCACUUGAGCUAAUUUUGAUGGCAGCUCAAGAUCUACAGUGGGGACAAGUUUCAGAACAAAAGCAUCAAGAUGACUGGCAUGCUCUAGGAUCCUUUGCCUCAGCGCUACUAGGAGUGGAAUUUCAAGUUUCUGCUCAUGUGAUACCUGUCAAAAACUCAUGUCAUUAAAGCAAACUUGACAUGCAAGAAGACAAUUUGAAUAAUUUAAUGCUAGUGCUACAACUCAAAUGAAGUAAGGUGAAAUAAAACUCGGUAGCAAUCAUUCAAAGUGUAUUGCUGAAAGUUAAAAGGUUUUAUCCAUCACUCAAACCUAUAAAAUUGUGUUGUUAAAAAUAAUGUUGACCCCUUUUUUCGUCAAUAAAUUCAUGCGGUCACAAACGCUGAAAUUGCAAUGAAUAAUUUGGCAAGGAACUUGUGAAAAUCAGCCACCCAAAAAUCAAGGCUAGCAGAAUUAUUGGCUUCAUAUUUAAAACGUCUUCUAAAGUGGUAACCAAAAUGAACAAAGAAAGUUAACUAUUUCACAGAGAAGGACUCACCUGAUCAUAUAGCAGCUCAGAAUCUGUGAAUGCAUAAACCCGGCGGACUUUAUUUUGCACAGCUUCCAUUAGGCCAUCCAUCAGGGCUAAAUAGUUAGCCACAGGCUCCUCCACAUAAAAAUCAAGCCUUUUCUGCACCUGAAGUGCAGGAACAUUGGUUGACCUUUCCAUGACAACUCCAAUUCCAGAAAGCCCGAAACCUGAGUCCCCAUACCCAGCUAUGGACAUGCCUUUGAAGAACAUCUUCACUGAAAAUUCAUCGAGAUCAUCUUUUGGAUCCACCUUCACCGGUUCUUCGGUCUCCUUCCAAACUUCAUCAUCUUCGCAACAACUACGAAACUCUUCUUCAUCUUCCUCUCUGAGUAAAUUUACAGAAACCUCAUCACCAAAACUUGCCUGACCCUCCAUUUACACAACAGCUCUGGAAUUCUAAAACUUGAAGCUGUGAUUGUUACCAAAAUCCAACCACAAUUUGUCAACCAAACAAUCCGAAGCUCUGUAAUUUCAGCAGUCAAAUCUCUCAAAAUCACAAACAACAAUUCAUUUCAAUCACUGAUCUUUCAGAGCCUAUCUCCAAAUCAUCAUACAAAAAAAAAACCCUCCAAGGAAUCGAUCCAGAACUGCAGCCAAUUGUAGCAUCACCUCCACCUAUAAAUACCACAAAGAAAUACUGAUCUCAGACAGUAAUCAUUCCGCUCCUAAAUCCAAAUCGAUAAACAAGAAAACCCCAUCAACGAAUUCAUCCAAAUGAGCCAAAAAUCCGUGCUUUACCUUAUAUAUUCCCCAAAUCCCAAAAGAUACAUAAUUGUUAGCUCUUUCACAUAAACAAAAAUCAACCCAAAAUAGAAAGAGAGAGGACUAAUUUUCAUCCCUCCAAAACUGUACAAAAUUUCAAAGCAAUUUUUUGAAACAACAAUGAAGAAAAGAAAAAGAUAAGAUACAAAAAUAGGAAAGGGUAUCAUAUUGGAAGGGUAACUGGGAAAGAACGAAGUACAGGUUCCAUUACCUUAUCCGGAGGGAACUAAAGUCUCCGGAAUCAGAUUCCUGUUGGGGUCUGAAAUCUGAAAUGGUGUCUUGUAAUUGUAGCAAAAUGGUAGAAUAAUAAGAACCCUAAUCUGACAAAUUUCAACCUUUGGUGCCUCACCCACUUACAAGAUGCUGUUUUUAUUCUAUUCUUUUACUGGGAUUAGAUGAAAGAUGAAAGAUUUUAUUACUUAUUAGGAUGGUGAGAGCUGAGAAGAGAAUCCUUAGACUUACUAUUGCAGUUAUUGGCGUUUGAGGAAAGUUAGAAUGCCUUUGGCCUUUUGCUUUGUUGGCAUUCUCUCUCUUCCGGAACACAUGCACCUUGGAUUUCUUCAAUUCUCUACAUUCCCUUUUAUUUUCUCCAUAUUUACCCAAAAAAUACAAAAUAUCCUUGAUUUUUUUUUUUAAUAUUUGCAUACACUUAUUAAAUGCAAGAUUCCCUUUUUUUUAAUAAUUACGUUUUUUUAAGUAUGUACUUAAUUUUCUCACUAGAUUAAUUUUCUCAAUAUAAUCUAGUGGUAUUUGUCUUCAAUUAAUUAAAGGAAGUCUCAAUUUCAACUCACAUGGGGACACAUUCUUCAAUUCUCUACAUUCUCUUUUAUUUUCUCCAUAUUUACCAAAGAUGAUACAAAAUAUAUCCUUGAUUUUAUUAUAUUUGCAUACACUUAUUAAAUCAAGAUUCCGUUUUUUCAUAUGAUAAAAUUAUAUUAUUUUAAGUUUGUACUUAAUUUUCUCAAUAUAAUAUAGUGGUAUUUGUCAUCGGUUGGUUAAAGAAAGUCUCAAGUUUAUAUAAAUCUUAUAUAUAAAUCUUAAACUUGCCUGGAUACAUAUAUAUAUAUCUUAAACACUAAAAUCAACGUCAUUUUAUCAUAAACAUAAGUAUUAACAUGCAAAAACAUAACGAAAACCCUCUUUCCAUUCAACACGCCACUCCAACCUCCUACGCCACUUGAGCUACUCCCAAUCCCAAAGGUUUUGUGUAUGUAGCAUAUUUGACAAAAUGUGCCGUGUGAUUAGGGAAAGUAGAAAGGUGAAAAUGGGAGGGAAAAAAAACAUAGAGAGAAGAUGAUAGAGGAGAGUAAAUAAAAUGGAGGGAGAUGAGACCCCUCCAAACCAGGAUCACAAAGUCCAAUUUGUCUUCUUUUGGAUUGAUUGAUGGACAUCUUACACCGUUCUUUUCCCUUGAUCGUUUUCUCAUGUUUAAACCUCUCUUUCCUUCCAUUUUCCCAUCCUUCUUCUUAUUAAACAGUUUUAGUUGUAGAAUUAAAACAGUAUAAGCAUUAUUUAGCUGGAAUGUUCAAGUGUUGCAUAUAUUUCACUAAUUGUUCAGAGCAUUACUGUAUGAAAUGUGACUCAAUGGAACUUGGUAGAAAAAUAAACGCAUUAAGACAAAACCCCUAAGAUUCUCAGCCAGAAAACUGGGUUGGAGUUGGAGAAACCUAUGCAGUUUGCACAUGGUGUUUGUCUAUUUUGCUGAAGAAAAUGUGACUUUGUUCUUGACUUUUUUCAGCUUCCUGACAAUCAGUUAUAUAUAUAUAUUAUUAGAGUUAAACAAUCCCUGUAAAAGUGGAUUAAAAAAAUGAGAAUUUAAUGAUUACCAACCCUAUCUUCUUAUAUUUGAUUUGUGAAAUUGACUUCCAAGUUCCAAGCAUGUUUUUUUGUUUACCCAUUUCUUUUGACUGAGAUUGGAAAUUUAAACCCCUCUCCCAGUCAUCAUCAGUCUGUAGCCAGCUCAAAUCUGGAAACUAGAUCCAUAUAUGCAAGGGAGGAAUUAGGAAUUUUUUAACGAAUGGGUUAGUUAAAAUUAUUAGCUUAAAAUUUAAUGAUUAUUUUUUUUUUGGUACUUACAAUUUCUAUAGUCUUUCUAGAAAUAAAAGUAAACAAUAAAUCAUAUAAACCAAAUUAGUUCAUAGCUUCAUAGACUAAUUUUCAAUAAGUUUUAACAUAAACUAAAUAGGUUUAACUCCAUAGUGGAUUGAACAUCUAAGGCUCUUUACCUAGAUUGACCUUAGGUUCUUUCAUGCAUUCAUAUCAUAUAUGAAAAGUUGUUUUAUGUAAAAAUAUUGACCAAGUAUGAAAAAUGGGUUUUCAAAAUAAUCAUUUCCUCAAAAUAAUUUUUUGCGGCUUUUAUUCUUCACACAUCAAAUAAGAAAACUUGAUUUUAUGGGAUUUUAGUUUGAAGUAUAUAUUGACUUAAUGAGCCAUCAUUUUUAGCCUAAAUCGUAUUUUGCACUAAAAUCGAUUUUUUAUAUUUUGAUUUGGUGGGAAUUUGAUUUUCUAAUAUUUUUAUUUGAAUCCAAAUGGGAGAUACUUCCUUAUUUACAUUUUAAACUUAAGUAACUGUAAAUAUAUAAAUUUUAUAUACUUUUUUCUUAAAAAAUCAUACUGGGCUACAGCCCACUGUAGCCCUUAAUGUGGUUCCGCCCUUACAUAUAUGACUUAACUUUAAAAACCCAGGAGUUAAUUAACAAAAGUUUAAUGACUAAUUUAACAAAUCUGGAAACUAUUUACCACAAAAUUCAAAUGGUGGCAAUGUGAAUGCAAUGUACCUCUUUGCAGUUUGUACCUAAUCGCUUUUCUUGCACAGCUUUACACUUUACAGGUUGACAAUCAAUCAUCAAUCAUGCUAUUAAAAAAAUCAUCAUGUUGCUUAUAGAGUUUGGUUUAAGGUGGGGUACUCUUUACCUAUAGAGGAAAGGGACUUGACUCUAUGAUUGCCUUCAAAUAGUGACUUGCUCAAAAACGAUGUGUCGUUACAUUUAAGUAAGGAGGGUCACGAAAAAAGAAGAAGAAGAAACUAACUCAUUUAUAAUAGAGAAAUAUUCAUAAAUUAUGACAUUGGUGAUUCAUGGUAUAAUAAAACGUUGUCAAAUUGUCAAUUUAAAGAAAUGAAGGUAAUUAUUGUUUAAAUGUAUUUUUUUUUUACCAAUAAAAAAGUGUACAUAUUUAAAAUUUACCGUCUAAUUUGGUAACGUAACAUUUUUAGAUUUAAAAAAAAAAAAGAGAAUAUUAAUGAAUAAUUAAGAAUAUGCUCUAAGAAGACAUCAAAUGAAAUAUAAUACUCAAGUUGGAUUAAAUUAUGGACGGUUCAAUUUUGUUUUCUCUUUUUGGAAAAUAUUAGUUCCAAAGUGACAAACCCUUUUGUUAAUAAAAGUUCCAUGAAGUAGGAAUUAGUCGUGUCCAUGAGGAAGAGGAAUCAAAGCAGUCAACUGCGGUGCAUAGUGUAUGACUUGUCUUUAGGCUUAAUGUUCAUCCAUUCUAUGCUCAUCAUUUGUCCUGCAAUUUUAUUCUGUCAAAAAUGGGUCCUUUAAGUUUUGACUGGUGCAACAAAACGACAAGCAGCUGGUAGAGAUUGGAACUUUCGGUGUUCCAAACGUGGCACUAUGUUCUAGUUGACUUAUUAGCUUUUAUUUUUUUGUUUUUGUUUUUUUUUUUUUUUAAUGACACCUAACUCAAUGGAAAAUAUCCUUAACUUGCAGACAAAAGAUCUCAAGUUCGAACCCCCUCACUUGUAUUUUUUAAAAAAAUUAUUUUGAUUUUUUCCCAUUUACAUUUUCAAGCACAUUCUAUAAAGUUAAAAGGUAAAACUAAAUUUACACUUCUUUUGGAUGAGUCCAAUUUUCCUGUUACUAUUUUCCAUGUGGCCCUUAUUACUUAUCUAAACUCUGAAACAUGUCCCUACACUUGACCUCUAAGUUAACAAUGUUAACUUUUAAUAAAAUUAAAAGUAAAGACAAAAACAAAAACAAAUUAUUAAACAGCCACCAAAGCUUUGCACCCACUCAACCCCUACCGCCGACAACUCCUCACUUUCUCUCCGGCAGUGGCAGAGCUACUUCUAGGCCUGGAGUGGCCUUGGCCCCCCCAAUUUUUUUUUUAAUCUCUCCUCUAUUAUAUUAUAUAUAACAUAUAGAAUUUGUAAUAAACCACUUAUAAUUUAAGUUAAAGUUCCCUCUAAAACAAAUUAGACAUGACUAAAUUAGAAAUAUUUAGUUCUAAAUAUGUAAUUAUUGAAUACUUAGAUAUUUUAUAUACUUGUAUUUUCUACUUCGACCCGCCUAACUUUACAAUUCUAGCUACACCCUUGCCCCAGUCAUGCUUGCCGGAAACAAAUCUUUUUUCUUUCUCUCUCGCCACUUUUAUCAUUUUGCUCCCCAAACCCAAAACCCCAACAACAUAGUUAAGAUCGGGUUUAGAAUAGAAUAGUUGUGAACAUGUCUUCCAAAUCCAAAACCCCAUCAUUCCAUUUUCCAACUUAGAGUCAAUCUCAGCCAAGGGAAGAGCCAACAUAUAAGAUGCACAUUUGGGGGCUUCGGUAGCUGUUUUGUUGCGUCGUUUGAUUUUUCUUUAACAAUUUAUUUUUGUUUUUGUUUGUAAUUUUAUUAAAAAGUUAACAAUAUAGGGAUAUGUAAGAGUUUAGAUAAGUACCAGGAAGGCACAGGGGAAAUGAUAACAGGAAAAUUGAACAUCUUUUAGAUGUGCCACCAUGAUGAAGGAAGUAAUACAAGCGAGUAAAUAGUAUUUAUUUUCCCUUAUAUUUUUUUAAAAAAUGGUUCAAAGAAGAAUGCUACAAAAAGAAAAAGAAAAAAGUUUCUUAAUCCUCUCUAUUCCCUUAUAUUUAUAAAAUACUUUUAUAACGGGCCAACAGACUCUCAACAAAAAGAUAGAAAUUUAUCUUUAUGAAUUAUGCAUAGCAUUUAUACGAUUUUACGUCAUUUCUAUCGGGCCUGAAUUUUAAGGGUGUUGGGUUAUCCAGAACCCAAAAUCUACUGUUCCUGCAAUUCUAGGGUUUUUCUUUAGCAUCCAAUAGGCUGUGGCUUUGGGCCUAAUUUCCUAAUCCAUGGAAAACCCAUGAGAAAUUGAGAAAGCAAAACCACCGUGCAAAAGUUUGAAUAAACUUCUCCUUUUCUUGCAUAUUUCAAUUUCCUUUUGUUUCUUUAUCUGCUCAUGAAACUUGAAACAAGGAAGUUUGGCUAUUUAUAGCACUUGAGGGAAUCACAAUACAAAAGUGACAACACAAAAAGAUCGACCUGUGGAAACAUAUAACGAUCAUAAACCUGAAACUAGAGGAAAUCAAAACACAUAUUAUAAGUGCAAUAUAUAACAUCGCUUUUCAGAUCAUGGCAUCAAUAAUUUAUUGGUCUUAUAAUUAAGCCCAUUUUGCCAAUACAGACAUGCCACCUGCACCCAAAAGGACCGCCAUGUAAGAUUUGAUCUGGAGCUUGAUGCUACGCUGCAACUUUGGACCCAUGAAGUCAGCAGCAAGAAGAUCAACCAGAGCCAUGUAGAUAAGAAGGCCAGCUGAGGAUGCAUUGAGCAGCCCUACUGUGAUUAGCGACCUUGGACUAUUUUCUUUGUAUGAUUUUGUAAGGGCCAUUCCGAUUGCAAUUCCGAAUGGGGUUGUUGUUGAGAAGAAGAACACCAUGAUUGCCUUCUUCAUGAACUUGUACUCGGCCUGCAUUAAAUUAUAUUUGUUCAUGAGCUAAUUGAAGUUUGAUCAGUCAUUAAGUAUAUAUUAAUGGAAUAUAUAUACCUGGAGAAUGCAACCACCAAGACCCAUGCCUUCAAACAUUUGAUGGAAGCAAAGGGCAGCUACAAGACCUUUAAUUGUGCAAGUGUUGUUUGAUGCUCCAAGAGAAAGCCCAAUAACAACUGAGUGAACAAUGAUACCCAGUUCUAAUACCUGCAACAAUACACAAGUAAUUAUAUUUAUCCAUGUACUAUGUUAUCUAACUGUCAAUCUGGUCAACUACACGUUGAAUCGAAAAUUCACCUCAUCUAUAGUUCUGAUUAACAUUUUCGACACAAUAGGUUACAACAACGCAUAACAAAAUUCAGGAAAAAUAAAUUUUCACUUCACUAAUGAUUUAAGUUAACAAUAUAUAUGGCGUGUCAGACUGUCAAAUAAGAUAAAAAAUUUAUUUCUCACCAUGGCAACAACGCGAUAACGGGGAAGCUGUGAGUCUUCAUUUCCUCCCUUGACUAUGUCAUGACUGUGAGCAUGAAAAUGACCAUGCCCAGCACCCACUGCAGCCAUCUCUUGGUCCACCUCAACGGCUGCAACCGUCCCAUUAUCUGGGAUAACUCCAGUUCUGCAUCUCUUGCUAUAAAUACUAGUGGCCAUAGAAUCCACCAUCAAAGUCACAAUUGCAGAGAGCAUAGCCACAAACCCUGAGAAAGGAAACUUGUGCCACGGGUUUUCUUUCAAACAGUUGGAUGAUAACAUGUCAAAAGAAUCAGGCAAGACGUGCAUGAACCCCGUGGCAAGGAUGAUGCCGGCUGCAAAGCACUUGACAAUCACAAACAGGUUUCGAUCGGGGUGCAACGCGGGUAUCGAACGAGUAACAAGAGGCAAGGACACCCCGAUCAUGCUCGUGACCAAAAUUGUGGUGAUGGCUAUGACUUUGAGCGGCACAGCUCCAGACUUGUCAUUGCAGGAGUUGGUUUCUGAGCCGCAUUCAUCAGACUCUGAAUGGACUUGGGGAGUGAGAAUGGAGAUGAAGAUGAUGAAGAUAAUUGGGGUGAGCUUCAAAUGUGACUUGGUGGCCAUUUUUUUACUCUGACUUUAGCUCACUCAAAUAAGUUUUGGGCUCAAUGAUUUGGAGUGACCUUGGAUCUUGUUUAUAUAGAGGGGUCUGAGAUUGAGCAAUCAAUAGUGCCAUGAUGCGAACAGAAUAAAUAAAUAAAUAAGCUGAUUAAUAUUGUUUUAAACGAUAAUUUAUUGUUUUAUACCAACUUGACAAAAGAAAAAGCUCUGUUGAUGUGUUCAACGAUAAAGUUUUUGCUACCUUCUCAAAAGAAAAUUCAGUCUAUUGGAGAAUUGACAUACGUAACAGUUUUAUUCUUCAUGAAUAUAUUAUGCAAGCAGCCGUACAUGGAGCUGGUACAGUUGGAUAAGGCUUCCAACAUUCCAGUUUAAUUUCUCAGGUCAACCAAUUCUGUGAGAUGCCAAGGGUUCAAUUAUACAUGUGAUAUUGAUUUCCAAGCAUAAUUUUCCAUAUAAUUAGGCUUUCAUCAUCAAAUUAGUUUUUACGUACCAAAUUGAGACGGUUUAAUUUCUAAAUGGAAAAGGUCACUCUCAUUUUUCUUUUUUCUUCAUUCAACACUGUGAACUUUUGAGUUAUACACCAAAUAUGUAUCGUCUGUGUGAUUCGACCACCUUCAACAAAGCGAAGACAAACUUCACCGAAUCAAAGAGUAAUUUGCAUUUGCAAAUUUCUCACUCUUAAUUAGUUGAUGUCACAAAAUUAAUCCUGUAAAUGAUGAUGUCAAACUGAGGAAAAAACAAAACAAAAGAAAAAGUCAAAAGAUACAGAAAGAGGAUUUGUAGGAUAUCUAAUCCAGAAGUAAACGAAGUAUAUUAUGCAUAGAUUCCAUUGUAAGUCGCAUAUAAAUAUUUAGGAUUGUGUUAAGUAAACGGAGGAGGCAUGCUGCAUGCCCUAGUUUGUCAGUGAAUGAGUAGAGCUCGUGGGGGCUUGUGUUUAGGCUUCUUCAAGUACACGUGGCUAAGGCCACCUAAUUGCAAAUGUCAUAAUAGUUUCAUGAUGAAAAUAAAAAUGCCAAAGUUAACCACAAGAUGUGAUGCGGUUGGUAAACUGUCAUCUCCAACUAGCGAGCUACCUAGUGCCUCAAUAGCAAGGGUUCGAAGCCCAUUGGAAGCACUUUGUGGUUAGGAGCAAGUCGAACCCCGAGUGGGCAUUAAUCUCACCCUUCGAAUGUGAGGACACUUGUGAUAUUUACCAAAAAAAAGCCAUAGUUCAUUAAGGUGUAUCAUUUUUUAAGUUAGAUUUCUGAUAAGAUUUGUUGGUUUAUCAUUAUUCUCAUAAGCUCAAGUAUUGAGGGAUGUGAUUUAACACUUGUUUUAUGUUGUAAAAGGAUAUCUUGAUGUACAUUUAUGCUUUUGAAAUCAAAUAAUUUCAUCUGGACAACCAAAUGAUAGGUAUCGAGCACAAGGGAUUUGUAUAGAUGAAGUGGUUAAGAGUGUUUAUCCUUAUACCUAAGGUCAUAGGUUCGAUUCCCCCCUCACCUAAUAUUGCUUUAUAAAAAAAAAUAAAAAAAUAGCUAAUGCCAACUUUUGUACAAUUUAAAGUUUUAUUAGUGAGAUAUAUUUUAGACAUCCUCAUUGUUUAAUAGCUGUACUUCUUCGUACCGUCUGGAAAUGAUUAGUUAGUAAGUCCUUUUCUAUGAGAAAUAGUUUGAUUAGAGGCAUUAGUAAUGCCGAAUUUUUUUUCUUUAGUAAACUCCGAUCGCUUUCUUCAUCUUUAAACAAUAAUCUGUGACUUGGAAAGUCAAAUAUAUGUGGUCUGCAGGGACUGUAAUUUAUUCAUUCUCUCUUUGUAUUCUCUCUAACAAAUGUAAUUAACUUAGUAAUUAAACUAAUAGCCAAUGCUUAUCUUGAUAGAUAGAUAGAGAUAAUGCAAAGUAAACCAUCAAUCAUCUUCACAAAUAUCUUAAAUUAUUUUAUUGAAAUGAUCCGUACUGUAACGUACAUGGCCAAAAACGAAAAGAUGAUAUCAAACCGUUGAAUCAAAUUCAAAAGUAAGACUAAUAGGAAACAAAUAUGGUAAAAGUGAUGUCAAUUGACACUAAUUAGUUUGAUUUUUAUACUAAAGAAAUUCUAAUUCAAUAGCUCUUCAGAAUGUUGGAAGAUGUUCGAAAUUUGAAUCAUGAUUGAGCCUCGAUAAAAAAACAUAAACAAAAAACAUGCAGGCUGCAGCUACUGUACAGUGUGGUUUCCUUUAAGCCCAUUUAGCCACAAGGACGUGCCUACGUCACCUGAGAGGACUGCCACAUAAGCCCACAUAUGAAGUUUGACGCUGCCUUGCAACUGGGGCCUCAUGAAAUCAGAUGAAGCAGGCUCAGCCCAAAUUGGUCCAAACUGCAAAGGCUUUGUUGGGGAUGGACCGAGCCGGCAAAUUGAGUUCAAAAUAUCCCCUUACUUUUCAUUUCCACGCAUGUUCAUAAACUAGGUGAAGCUAAAUUCUUUUUCUUCUUCAAAAUCCGUAGAGUUAUUUUCACAUUACAUUGUAACCAUUCUCUAAAAGAUACUGCUUGCCUCUUUUUCUGUAAAGAGAUAUUCGUCCUUCAUAUGAAUCACAGUUUGAUACAUAUGCAAAAAUAAUUGAUCAAAAACACAAAAUGAAAAACUUAUGCACACAUGUCACACUGCUAUUAACAGGAAUGCAAAAUCUCCUACCUACACGGUAAAGAGGAAAGUAUUUUCAUUCUCUAAAAAACCUACGAGAAAUAAAUAAUUCCUAACCUAAAAGUUAGAACACUUACUUGUACCAAAAGCAAAUAAAAAAUGUCUACAUUUUUUGAACUCUCUCUUCCCCACCAAGGAAAAACUAUGUGCCACUAAAAUUUCCCUACUUUUUUUUGUUGUGGUUUUUCUUUCUUUCUUUUGCAUAUUAAAAUCUUCCCAUGUAGGGUAGUUGAGUUAUGGUAUGAGCACUUCUAACAUGAAGGUUCAAAUCAAAAGCAAAGAGUGCUGCCACCAAAGACACAAUCAUUCAAGUUAAAGAUGAGAUUUGGUCAUCUGCACUGACUAUAUAUACCCUAAUCACAUGCAACUCUUCUUUUCUCUCUGUCCAAAUAUCAUAUAAUUCAAGUACCCCACAAACAACAGUGAGGGUUUCUUCUUGCUUUGCUUGUUUAUUUUAAUACCUUUUCCAACAGCUCACAUUGUCAUUGGGUUUUGAUAAGCGUGAAGCAAAUGAUCACUAGCAUAUUACCGUUGGCUUUUGGAAUUGCAGGGAUACUGUUUCUCCCACUAAGCCUUUUAAAUUGAACACAUGGCAGAGUCAUUAAGCAUUAAAUAAAAAAAUCUCCCCUUUCUAAUCUCUCUCUAAAAAGUUGUCAUGCACACAUAAUUGUUGGCCCCAUUUUUAUAAAGAAAAAUGUGUUGGAGAAGAAAGGAAGCAUCCAUUAAAUCUAAAGACGAUGGACCACAUUUAGCAGGUGGACAAAAAAGUCAAUUCAAAAACCCUCUCAUUGGAUCCACAUAUUAUAGUAUUAUUGCAUAUCGUUUUGUCCACCGCCUCAUCUUUAAACACCACAAAAUAAUUAACUUCAUAAAAUUAAUACCACCUGCAGAUUAAUCAGGUGGUUAAGUAAAUCAAAUCAAACAUUGAAGCACAUUUCCAUUCAUCUUUUAAAAAAAAAAACCAUUAACUUGCAAUUUACAGGGACCAUAUAGGCCCUAGGGUUGUGUGUUCUCUGUCAGAUACACAGUUGGCAUGUCUAUGUCGAUGUGGCCAUAUGUUGCCCUAGAAUUGAGCUUAUUAUAAUUGUCACGAUGAUGCUGUCAUAGCAUCCACCGCAACCUGUUCGAAACUAAUUAAAAUAAUUAACUUCUCCAAAUUUCCAAUUCAAAUUAUUUGAAUAGGAAAAAGAGUACAAAGUAAAGCGAGUCAUCUCAAUAGUAAUAAAAACUUUCAGUAACUUGACCUAACCGACAGAUUAAAACGAUAUACAUGAUUCUUAGAAAAUAUAUGGAUAGCCUUCAAUGACAUUGGCUAAAUAUUCUAUAAAGCAACCAAAACUUGAACAUCAAGCGAGGAAAACUUGGUAGCAUGCUUACCAUUAGAAAUGGUUCAAAUACAAGUUGGGUUUUGAUGUUGUUUUGACCAUUAGCUAUUGUGGGGCAGGAUUUUGAAAGGACCAACAUGAGUACAUGUGUGAAAAAGCAAAGACAACCACAUCUAACAUUAGUAAGUUUUUGACCCCACAACAAGAUAUAUGCACAUCUUCUUCUUCAUAUAACGCGGGGAUUGAGAUUGAGAUUGAGAGCAAGUUUUCAAAGAACAAUAUCUUUUUGCGAGGACGAAGAGACAACCCUAAACCAAACAAAUACCCCACUUCCUCCCCAAAUCUUCCCAAUUUAGCACAUUAUUGUAAUCUUGCGUUUGUUGGGGCCUUGUCCAUGGCCACUUGUGCUUUUGGAUAUCUAGCAUCAACCAACGUAACCAUCACGUGUCACUCAGAAAUUAAACGCAAUAAUUUAUAUUAUUGUUAUAUUGUUGCUGUGGUCACAAUAACAACAACAACAAAUACAGGAAAAAAGAAAAGCUAGGCCUAGGUUCUCUCUCUCAGUCGGUGGCAGACGAUAACUCCUAAAUUUCACUAUGGUUGAGUUACCAAUUAGACCACACCACAGUAGCACUGCCAACCCUAAUUUUGUCGGUAUUGUACCCUCCAGCUUUGCAGGACCCUCUGCUUCAUCUGAUCUGAUCCAAACCCUAAAUCAUCAGAAAAUCCAGUGGUGCCCAACUACGUGGCUCGUACACGUUUUCACCAAAGCAAUGACCUAGCAUAUUUUCCUAUAUAUAUAUAUAUGGUAGCUAGCCUGACACAAAGCCAUUAACGUACGCUUUCUGCUAGUCUCUUCUCUUUGGCGUAUUUUUAGGGUUCUUCUUUUGCACUCUAUUUUUUUUCUCUCUCUUUUUCUGAGAGAGUUCACAGAACCCCAUGACCCAUGAGAGUAAAAGCUGGUGGGGCAAUCUCACAUGUUAUUUACAACCUCAAGGCUCUUGCUUUAUUUUGUGCACCUAACCUAACAUAACAUCAUCUUUUCUGUUUUUUGUUUCUUCUGAUCCAUUUGCUGGAAAUGUCAUAAGUGCUUGCCCAAGUGGAGUUGCAGAUACCUAAUAUUCAAGUGAAAAGUUAUUUUCCUGUAUGACUGUCAUUUUUCCCUUUAUAAAACAUUAUUAUUGCUCUCGUAAAAUUAAAGUAACAAACAAUUAUAUUUAUAUUUUUUUUUAAAAGAAGAAGGUAAUAACUCAAAGUUUGCAAAAGUAAGAAAAUAAAUUAUGUACGUCGACAUAGAUAGAUCGGGUGCAUGGUGCAUGCAUUAUUAUUGUUUGUACUAUACGUUAGUACAAUAGUAGAGAAGAACUCAUUCAAUGAUGUAUAGGUAAAAAAGAAACACUGAUGUGACCUGAUCAAUGUCAAUUGGAAAGUGAAUAAUCCAAAUUUACUGCCUCAAUAAAAUUACAAAGAAGGAAUAUCUAUAAUCAAUAAAGAAGAUGGAGUUGCAACGUGCUCGUUGCUUUAAAUCUGAGUUCGAUUUCUCUUCUCAUACAUACAUUAUAGUAGUUUUCGAUUUCUCUCUUUAUACAUUGUAAAAAAUUAAAUACAAAGGCUUAUAUGGUUUUCGAAAUUAUAUAUAUGGUACCUAGUCGUACUCGUAGACUGCCAUUCACUAUCUACCAUUUUAAAUACACUUGAUUUAUUUUUGGUAUAGUUUCAUUCAUGGGUUGGCGUGCCGGUGCCACAAUGUAUUACAAUAGCUACACCUACAAGACAGAGAAAAAUAAUAUAAAUUUAUUUUCUCUUUGCUUGUUCUUGUUUUAUGCUUUGGAUAGUCAAAUCCUCUAUGGAUAGGCAGUUGCACCAUUUGCUGAUGAAGCUGCUGUUUUCUGAAUGAUGGAUGCUGCUCUGAAACCAAGCAAUAUUUAACAAAUAAUAGAGGCCAUCCAUUUUAUGGGUCCCACUAAUGUUAAUAAGCAUCAGUCUGACGUGUCAGGUGGGCAUUUGCACUUGCCACAUGUCCACGUCAUUGCUAAACAACACUCCCCACCCACCACUAAUUUUGGACACUUGUGAAUACUGAGUGAGCGAAGAAGCCCACUAUUUAUCCACGUCUCUUUUUCUUGUUUUUUCUUCGUGCAUGGAUGGAGUGAUGGUGGUGGUAAAAAAAUAAACACGCUGUAAAAUUUGGGACAAAUUAUUAUUUCUCUGUAGAAAAAGAAAGAGAAAAGUAACUAGGUAAAAACAUUAUCAUUAAAGAGGAUCUCAAUCUUGUUUUUGUUUUUGUUUUUGUGCUUUUGGGUUGAUGGAGAAUCAUCAAACGUAAGAUCUACUUUUCCUCUCACACCACUUACUCAUAAUGUCAGCAUUUUUGUGAAUUUCAAUUGAAUGCGAUCAUUUAAAUUUGUUGUUGUAAGUAGAUAGAGAAUGAAUUUUCUCUUGGUGCAUGGAUUUUGAAUUCUGAGAAAGCACUUUUCUUCUACAGCUUGUUUAGAAACUAAUUCAAAAAAUUUUGAAUUAUGAUUUACCUUUCAUCUCACCUAGUCUCAUAUCAUGCCAUGCCAUGCCACUUGAGUUGUAAGGUUCAUGGUCAUUUUAAAACUUCAAAACUAGUUAUUGAUGGAUUUGUUGUUUGUUAUUGAAUGCUUUCUUUUAAUAGUAUGCAAUGUUUCAAGAAGCGAGUUUUACGGCAUAAAUGACGUUAUUUUAAUUGUCUGAAUUAUGGUCAUUUGAAUUGAAUUGAAUGACGUCAUUUAAUUUUUAUUAUUGUAAGUAGUCAAAGAAUGAAUGCGCACUUUAAGCAUGAGUUACGUGUGAUUGUGAAUUGAGAUAUGUAUUUAUUAUUAUGAAAAAAUAAAGUAGUUGCAAUUUUAACCCAAUAUUUUCUUUUUCAAAAUUAUAUAGACUCCGCGAUUAAUUACGUACGUGAUCUAAUGUAAAUACUCACUAGUCAUUUUACCAUCAACUUUUUCUUAUGUACAAACUGAUAUGCAUUAUAUAUCCCCCUCCAUUGUCAAUCAAAUUCAUCUUUAUUUGCCAUUGUGCGACUCUCCAAUAGUUUAUACACAGGGAAAGAUGAAACUGCACAGAAUCACAUGCAAACUGUUCCAUAAUAGAUCCUUUGUUUAGGGGCAGCCGGAUGCGAAAUAUGAGAAUGUACUUGUAGAUUUUUAUAUUUGAAGUAAGUAUCAUUCAAAUUGUUUGACUUGCCCUCUGAUUGCAUCCAGACAUAAUCUUAAUGGCAUCACCAAAAGCAUUUCUGAAUACUGGUAAUAAAAUUUUGAGAUACCAAACCAUUACUUUUAUGAGUCUAGGUUCCUGCUCCUGCUCCCCCGAUUUUAAUAUUUGGGUUCACAUUAAACGUAUAAAAUACCUUCCAGAUAACAUAGUGACCACAAUACAGAGAGAGAGAGAGAGAGAGAGACAGAGACAGAGAGAGAAGUUGGUGUCAAUUGAUUAGACAAAUGAGUAAUAUGGUGGAUACGGGUCGCUUUUUAAGUAUAGUUCCUUUGCUUUGCAAGAAAUCUGAGACAUUGAAUGGAAAGAAAGAAGUCACAUAUAUAUAAAGAAUCAAAAGCAAACAUGGAAAAGUUAAAAAGGAAAGGGGUAGAGGAUCUGAUCAAACAUUAUCAUUUCAUUUCAUCUGGAUUGACAAGUACAACAAUAUCAUGCUUUUUUCCAUAUCCUAUUGCGCAUGUUUGAUGAUUGUCUAAUUACUUACACUUCUUUUUAAGCAGAAAGAAGAAAAGCAAAUAAUAAUGUGGUUUGUGAUGUUCCCAUAAGCAUUCCAUAAGUGAGGUGUGGAUUUUGCCACUAAGACGCAUGAGUAAACAAGUCCAUAAAAGCUAUAGGUCUUAUCAAGCAAAGGAUUCAAACUUGGCAAAUAUGCAAGGUGACAUAUAGCUUGGAUUAAGCAAAGUUGGGUUAAUUGUAGGUUAAGACUGAGUGAUUCGGAUUGAGUUCGGUUUGCCAACAAUCUUGAUUCGUGUUAAACUCAAUCUCGACCAAGUUAAGAGAUGGUAAACACAUACUUAACUUGACUUCUAACCAAAUUCACUGUCACUACUGAUCUAAAUGAAUUCGAAUUUCGAGUGAACUUCGAAUUAGAUCAUUGUAAACCAACCCAAAUUAAAUCAUUUAAUUAAGAGGCAUAAACGUGCAUGUGAAACCGAUUAACAACGUGGAACAAAAACCAAAGGUUAUGAUGUACUAGUUGAAUAUGGAGGUCCCCAAGAAAAAAGAACGAAAAACCCUCAUAAAAGUAUUGAACUCUCUCCCCAAGAAAGAAAUGAAAAACUGGUAAAAGUUACCCUACGAAAAAUUGGGAAAGCUACAAAGGAAGGAGAGCAAUUGAAAUAAUAAUAAUGGAGGUCCCCACAUUGGAGAAGACGAUAUGAUGCUAAUUUUGACGUCUCACGAUUGUUGGCAUACACAUUUUUAACCUGCUGCUUUUUUUUAUGACAUUUUGAGCUCUCUGUCCAAACCCAACAACUCGAAAGGCUUUGGCAUUGCUGCAUGAUGCAUGAACAAGACCCCAACAAGAAGAGAUAAGAGAUGCCCACCAUAUGCAUCUUGUUCUUCACAAAAUUCAACCCACCGCCCUAGAAACUUUCCAAAGCUGUGGAUGGAUGCCUUGCCACACCAGAUGGGAAAAGUUAAAUUCUGAUUAAAAAGAAAAGGAAGAUCCAAGUUUUAAAAAAAUGGGGGUAGGUAUACCGCAAUUGUAAAGUGUUUGACAAUUUCUUUUUGCCUCUGCUUUUGGUUAACAACUCAGUAUCUCUCAAUGCAGCCCAAAAAACAAGAAAAACCGAUUUCCCUUAAAUUGCUUUUCUUAAAGCAGUGAGACCAAUUAGGUAUGAAACUCAUCAUGCACAUUGCUCAAAUGGAAAGAAAAUAAAAAGUAAAAAAAAUGAUGGAAAUUAAAUAUACCCAAUAGAAACAAAAUUUGUAAUCCUACUCUUUUUUUUUUUUCCUUUUUGUCCAAAAAGUAUUUGACAAUAUUUUUCUGUUCAAUUUCUGAGGACUAAAAAAAUCCUAAGAGAAAUUAACAUGCACACUGGCAUUCAUGACAGAGUUACAUACAGGGCAAUUGAGAAGGGUGGACCCACACAUUGUACACAGGCACAAAUGCCUGCAUGGCAGUAACAACACCCUUGACUCCC
Molecule: long non-coding RNA, 26261 nt
Filed under: Prunus persica (peach)
Lineage: Eukaryota; Viridiplantae; Streptophyta; Magnoliopsida; Rosales; Rosaceae
Description: long non-coding RNA (PPER_LNC004044)
Source: RNAcentral